AAAAAGUUGUGGUCACAAAACACACAACACUUCAUUCAAAAAAAAAACACAGCACUUCUCCAAAAACCACCAUGUGAGAGACUCGAGCAGGUAGCAGCUUUCUGCACUGGGGUCCAGCAUGUUCUGCCCUGCCAAAUCUGUAUAGACUGUAUUCUUUCAUGAAAAUUUAUAAUCGUGCAUUUUAACGAUAUGAAAUAAAUGUAAUACUCUUUUAAAAAUACUUUUUUUUUUUUUUUUUUUUGAUGAAUAACUCUUUUUAUUCAUAUCUAUCACUUGCUCUUUAUUAUUUGAUUGAAACCACAUGUAUGUUUCUUUAUCAACAUGCCUGUCAUGUACAAAGUCCUACUCCUGUCGAUCUUCUAACGGGAACGAACAAUGUUGUGCUUGUGUGGGUAGUGUAUGAGUGGGCAGGAUCUUGGACUGUAUUUGAUGGUAAUGGAAGGGAAUUUUGUUGGACAUGGGCAUUUUCUUAAAGGAGUUGUAGUACUAGUUCUAUCCACUUGGGUCCCAUAAUGCCCACACCUUCUUUGUUAGUUUUGUUGGCUCUCCACUUUUUUCGUUGAUGAGAUCCUCUCAAGGUAACCCUCUUCUCCCGCAGAAUCUAUCCGGCCUCCUUUAGUGUUUCUUUUUUCUCUCCUUUAACUUUGUUCUACCUCCUAUUAUUCUAUGCUGGGUCAACAAUUUUCUUGUGUGUCUGCUGUUUGUAUCUGAUUUUCAACUGAAGUUUUGGUUUCUUUCUUUGGAGGUGGGUUGGUUGUGGUCACAUGAAAGCUUUUGCUCAGGGUACCAAAGUCAUGUUAUGUUGUUUGUUCGGUUUUUGGUUUUUUUGGGCCAAAAAUUCCUGAUUUUGUCAGGUGGAUUGGUUUUGGGUACUUCUGAAUGUGUGUUUUCUCACUAAUUCUUCAUGUGGUCCUGGCUGCUUCUCUAUGAUUUUCGAUGAGGAUAUUUGUUUCUUUGCUGUGGGUUGAUCUUGGGCUGUUGGGCAGUUAUAAAGAUGUGAAUUCUUCAGAACAUGACUGAUGCGACAUGGUUAGUCAAUUUUAUGGUUGAAUUUGUCAUAAAAACUUCGUUUUGAAGUAGCUUUAUCCCAGGUACUUCUGGAGUCGUAUUUAGUGGACGAAACAUUUCAGGUCUUUUGGUUUGUGUUGUGGGUUUUGUGUGGGAAGAAUAGGAAAUGGGAUUUUGGUGUGAAGUUAGCGAGUGGAUUGAUUUUUUUUCUGUGGAGAUAGUGUGAAAACAGAGGAUGAGAGGGAGAAAAGACGAGGAAAAGUUGAUGACUCCUAUGUUUCCUAGACUUCAUGUAAAUGAUGCAGAGAAAGGAGGCCCAAGAGCACCUCCAAGGAACAAAAUGGCUCUCUAUGAACAGCUCAGUAUUCCUUCUCAAGGGUUUACCUCUGGAUCAGCAUCCACGUUGCCCAUUUGGCCCAGUAACGGCAGCAGCUUGACUCCUUCGAUGCCCUCGAGCUAUGUUGGUGCUCACCAAAGGAGUUUGUCUACUCCGUUAAGCAACUCCCCUUCACCUUCUCAACCGGCAGAGAAGCUUCAUUCUUCUUCUUUCAGCGGAGUUAAGUUUAACACUAUGAUGGCAAGUCAUGAGCAGAAUUCCAUGAAACCUACAAGUUAUCCAAGUUUUAAUGCCACAGGGUCGGCAUCAUCAACUUUGAAAUGCAAAUCAAGUCAGUCAUACAAUUUCUCCAACUUUAAGAUUAACUUCUCUUCGAAGAAGCUUGGUACUGCUGGUGAAGGAAUAACUCCACAUUGUGGCAACUGUCAGUACAGCAGAGGUAGGGAAAAACCCCCUCGCUUGAGCUUAAGCUCUUCUGUGAAACAUCAAAAUGUUCGUGACAAGGAAAUAAAUGGUGAUCUAAAGUCAGAAGGAUUUUUGAGGAAGGAAACUGGAGAAGAUUCAAAAGCGUCUUCCAGUAAUCAGGACCCUGUGGAAAGGUCUUCUUCAAUCAAGUCAUCUAGAAAUAAUUUGGUGGAGACUUCCUCAAUCCCAUCAACCAAAGUUAAAAAUUCUGAAUCGUUAAAGAGAACACGUGCAUCAUCGGAUCAAGAAAACCGAAGCAGUUCGGUAGAUAACAGGUUGCAACAAGUGUAUAUGGCUGUGAAAGACAGAACAGCCGUCAGAGAUGACAUGGAAGUACCCAGAAAGGAAAAUGCUUCAAAGUUGAGAAGCAAAUCAUGUUCGAGGCCAUCAGUUGGAGAAGAUUAUAGAAGCCUUAAUGGGUUUGUAAAUGGCAGUGAGUGUUGUGAAGACAAGAGAUGUGGAUCUGUGGAAUUGGUAGACAGACAUGACAAUGUCUCGGAUGCAUGCAUGGUGGAAUCUAGGUCGGCUGUAGACAUCUCCCCUGAUGAUGUUGUUGGAGUGAUAGGUGAGAAACUAUUCUGGAAAGCGAGAAGCGCUAUUAUCAAACAACAAACAGUGUUCGCACUGCAAGUGUUUGAGUUGCAUAGACUGAUUAAGGUACAAAGAAUGAUUGCUGGGUCACCGCAACUAUUGCUUGAAGAUAACCUUUAUUUGGGGAAGCGUUCAAUAAAAGUACCUCAAGUUAAGAAGUUGCUAUCUGACGAUGUUUCAGAACCUCCCGCUCCCCUGAUUGUUAAAGCCAAUGAUGAUUCUAUGAAGUCAAAUUAUGGGCUUUAUUCAGCAAAUCCACCUUUAGCUCCUCCUGUGACCAAACCAGCCGCAUGGUGUUUCCCCCCACCACCAGGAAAUCAGUGGUUAGUUCCUGCAAUGUCCCCAUCUGAAGGACUUAUUUACAAGCCCUACACGGGGUCAUAUCCUCCUCCAACUUCACCUUUCAUGUCAAACACUGUUUAUGGUGUUCCAGCUUCUCACCAAUGGUUUGGAAUUCUUCCGGGCACACGUCCUUUAGGCCAGACAUACUUUUCCUUGUAUGGGCUGCCAGUCAUGAAUCAAUCUCGAUCCAGUUCAGGCGUUGAGGAAACGAGCCCGUUUGCCGGAGCUCGGUCGAAUGGACCGGACAAUCAGUUGAUGGUCGGGGACAUCAACUUCACCAUGCCCCAGCAAAGCUCCUGUAACAUGUCGAGCGAGGUAACUCAAUCAAUCUCAUUUCAGGCUGGCAAGUUCCCAGCAUCAAAAGAGAGUGAGUUACAGGGAAGUGGAGCAAGUAGUCCCUCUGACAGGGUUAAAGGAGAUGAUGCACUUCCUCUUUUUCCUACAGCACCCACAGUUCACGCACUGGAUCAAAAUGUGCAAACUAUGGAGCAUCGGACACAAGUUAUAAAGGUUGUACCUCAUAAUCCAAUAUCAGCAACUCAAUCAGCAUUCCGGAUAUUUCGGUCAAUACAGGAAGAGAGGAAACAAGUAUGAUUAGUGGUCUCAUCUCGGAUAUUCUUCCCGCCUUUGUGCUGCUGACUCUGAUAUCUUAUUAGAGAAUAUUACUGGGAGGAUUAACUCUUGGCUUUCUCGCCACCUUUCUUUUGCUGGGAGAUUGCAACUUAUUUCUUAUGUUCUCUACAGUCUUCAAGUUUAUUGGAGUAGUAUUUUCAUCUUACCAAAGAAAAUUAUUCAAGCUAUUGAACAAAAAUUCAACCGAUUUCUUUGGAAUGGUAUAGACGAAGGCAUAGUUAGAGCUAAGGUCGUGUGAAACAUGCUUUGUUUACCUAAGAAAGGUGGGAUGGGUAUCAAAAAGCUUGAGAAGUGGAAUUGUGCGGCUAUAAUGUGAUAUAUUUGGAGUCUUUUUGUUAAAGCUGUCUCUCUAUGGAUAGCCGGGGUAGAGGCUAUUUUAUUGAAGGGGAGAAGCUUUUGGCAGGUAAGCAUCCCCAAGUCUGCACAUAGAAUUGGCGUAAACUGUUGAAAUUAAGGGAUGAAGCUCGACAUUUCAUUAAGCUUUUUGUUGGAGAUGGCUAUAAGAUUCAUAUGUGGUUUGAUGAUUGGUAGCCCAAUGGGGUUCUUCAUUUUAAUUAUGGGCCUCGUGUAGUUUAUGAUGCCCAAAGCAAGCUUGAUACUUGGCUUUCUAUGGUCAUCAAGGAUGGGCGGUGGGUGUGGAGGCCUGCAAGGUCUGAUAUGCUUGUUGAGAUUAAGAGUAAGCUGUGUUUGGUUUUGGUUGGUGGUUAGGAUACUCCUCAAUGGACUGUUUCGAAAUUUGCAAUUGAGUUUGGAAGCAUGCUAUGAGUCUUUGUAACGUCUUGAAGCCCUCUCACAAGGUGGGAUGAUAUUGUUGAUUUGGGGAUGCAGAGUUGGAAGAAUGCUAAGCUGAAAGCUUAUCUUUGCCGGUUGGUGUUUGUUUCUGUUGUUUAUAACCUUUAGAGAAACCGUAAUGCUAUCCGUUAUGUUAAUCAUCUCAAAACUGAAGAACAAUUGUUCAAACAGAUUGUAUGGGAUGUUAGAACUAUGAUUCUCUCUAAAGGUAAGUCUAAGGCCACUAAAAGAAAUGUUAUCAUUUGUAGGAUUUUAGGGUUUAUAAGGAUUUUAGUUUGAUUU
RNA transcript from Alnus glutinosa, 4450 nucleotides. It is a transcript of the gene named protein EARLY FLOWERING 3-like, with no coding region annotated. The record is from RefSeq and is a predicted model, not a curated record. The transcript is spliced from 5 exons. Lineage: Eukaryota; Viridiplantae; Streptophyta; Magnoliopsida; Fagales; Betulaceae.